This 433-nucleotide ribosomal RNA is filed under the name uncultured bacterium. RNAcentral describes it as "partial 16S ribosomal RNA". It matches the Rfam family "Bacterial small subunit ribosomal RNA", at positions 29 to 507 of the family's 1533-position model. The record is from RNAcentral.
AACGAACGCUGGCGGCAUGCCUAACACAUGCAAGUCGAACGAGACCUUCGGGUCUAGUGGCGCACGGGUGCGUAACGCGUGGGAACCUGCCCUUAGGUUCGGAAUAACUCCCCGAAAGGGGUGCUAAUACCGGAUAAUGUCUUCGGACCAAAGAUUUAUCGCCUUUGGAUGGGCCCGCGUUGGAUUAGCUAGUUGUUAGGGUAAAAGCCUACCACGGCGACGAUCCAUAGCUGGUCUGAGAGGAUGAUCAGCCACACUGGGACUGAGACACGGCCCAGACUCCUACGGGAGGCAGCAGUGGGGAAUAUUGGACAAUGGGCGAAAGCCUGAUCCAGCAAUGCUGCGUGAGUGAUGAAGGCCUUAGGGUUGUAAAGCUCUUUUACCCGGGAUGAUAAUGACAGUACCGGGAGAAUAAGCUCCGGCUAACUCCGUG